This 438-nucleotide ribosomal RNA is filed under the name uncultured Acetobacterium sp. Its description in RNAcentral is "bacterial SSU rRNA". It matches the Rfam family "Bacterial small subunit ribosomal RNA", at positions 342 to 795 of the family's 1533-position model. The record is from RNAcentral. Lineage: Bacteria; Bacillati; Bacillota; Clostridia; Eubacteriales; Eubacteriaceae.
CGGGGGGCUGCAGUGGGGAAUAUUGCGCAAUGGGGGAAACCCUGACGCAGCAAUACCGCGUGAGUGAAGAAGGUUUUCGGAUCGUAAAGCUCUGUUAUUGGGGAAGAAAAAAAGACGGUACCCAAGAAGAAAGUCCCGGCUAACUACGUGCCAGCAGCCGCGGUAAUACGUAGGGGACAAGCGUUGUCCGGAUUUACUGGGCGUAAAGGGCACGCAGGCGGUUUUUUAAGUCAGAUGUGAAAGGUACCGGCUCAACCGGUGACAUGCAUUUGAAACUGAAAGACUUGAGUAUUGGAGAGGCAAGUGGAAUUCCUAGUGUAGCGGUGAAAUGCGUAGAUAUUAGGAGGAACACCGGUGGCGAAGGCGGCUUGCUGGACAAAUACUGACGCUGAGGUGCGAAAGCGUGGGGAGCAAACAGGAUUAGAUACCCCAGUAGUC